This 747-nucleotide ribosomal RNA is filed under the name uncultured bacterium. RNAcentral's name for it is "bacterial SSU rRNA". It matches the Rfam family "Bacterial small subunit ribosomal RNA", at positions 33 to 773 of the family's 1533-position model. The record is from RNAcentral.
ACGCUGGCGGCAGGCCUAACACAUGCAAGUCGAGCGGCAGCACAGGUACUUGUACCGGGUGGCGAGCGGCGGACGGGUGAGUAAUGCCUAGGAAUCUGCCUGGUAGUGGGGGAUAACGCUCGGAAACGGACGCUAAUACCGCAUACGUCCUACGGGAGAAAGCAGGGGACCUUCGGGCCUUGCGCUAUCAGAUGAGCCUAGGUCGGAUUAGCUGGUUGGUGGGGUAAUGGCUCACCAAGGCGACGAUCCGUAACUGGUCUGAGAGGAUGAUCAGUCACACUGGAACUGAGACACGGUCCAGACUCCUACGGGAGGCAGCAGUGGGGAAUAUUGGACAAUGGGCGCAAGCCUGAUCCAGCCAUGCCGCGUGUGUGAAGAAGGUCUUCGGAUUGUAAAGCACUUUAAGUUGGGAGGAAGGGCCGUUACCUAAUACGUGAUGGUUUUGACGUUACCGACAGAAUAAGCACCGGCUAACUCUGUGCCAGCAGCCGCGGUAAUACAGAGGGUGCAAGCGUUAAUCGGAAUUACUGGGCGUAAAGCGCGCGUAGGUGGUUUGUCAAGUUGAAUGUGAAAGCCCCGGGCUCAACCUGGGAACUGCAUGCAAAACUGGCAGGCUAGAGUAUGGUAGAGGGUGGUGGAAUUUCCUGUGUAGCGGUGAAAUGCGUAGAUAUAGGAAGGAACACCAGUGGCGAAGGCGACCACCUGGACUGGUACUGACACUGAGGUGCGAAAGCGUGGGGAGCAAAC